Molecule: long non-coding RNA, 450 nt
Organism: Drosophila eugracilis
Lineage: Eukaryota; Metazoa; Arthropoda; Insecta; Diptera; Drosophilidae
Exons: 2
Source: RefSeq, a predicted model, not a curated record
GUAACAUUUGACGGUUUCUUUUGAGCCUGAAUUUGUACGAUUUAUUAUUGUUUAACUAAUUGUUGUGAAAAUAGAUAAUUAAUUAUAGACAGCAUUGAGUCCAAGUUAAAGGUGAUGCUUCGCAGUUUUCCUUGCGAUCCGGACCUGUUGUACUAAGCUCUCUUUCAGAUGAUGGAAAUGGUCCUGGAGCCAGUAGUAAAAGGCACUGCGCCAAGUGCUUAGUUGGCUCCUUCAAUAAUUGCGCCGCAUGGCAAAAAUCCCUGUUGUACUUGUGCCUAGUUUUUCAGUAAAGUAGCUGAACAGACGACGAAGGACAAUCCCCAUUGCCACUUUUCGAGCAUAUUAAAUUUCUAAGAAGUUGUGCAAAUCGAUUAUUAACAUUGUUUAAUCAUGAAAUGUCCAAAUAAAGGUAACCCACUGUUGCAAGUGGAAAACAUAUUAGAAACAGUA